AAUUUAAUAGUAUACAUUCAUAUAAAUCUCACAAUAUGGCUGAGAAGUUUCUACCAAGUGACCGUAAAUUACUUGACUAUGAAUGAAAAAU
This 91-nucleotide non-coding RNA is filed under the name human gut metagenome. RNAcentral describes it as "Purine riboswitch". It matches the Rfam family "Purine riboswitch aptamer", at positions 4 to 94 of the family's 102-position model. From Rfam's summary of the family: Riboswitches are metabolite binding domains within certain messenger RNAs that serve as precision sensors for their corresponding targets. Allosteric rearrangement of mRNA structure is mediated by ligand binding, and this results in modulation of gene expression. A class of riboswitches that selectively recognises guanine and becomes saturated at concentrations as low as 5 nM. The record is from RNAcentral.